Molecule: ribosomal RNA, 171 nt
Filed under: Bothus pantherinus (leopard flounder)
Lineage: Eukaryota; Metazoa; Chordata; Actinopteri; Pleuronectiformes; Bothidae
Description: partial 12S ribosomal RNA
Source: RNAcentral
CACCGCGGUUAUACGAGAGGCCCAAGUUGACAGACAGCGGCGUAAAGGGUGGUUAGGGAAGUACCCCAGCUAAAGCCGAAAGCCGUCAAGGCUGUGAUACGCCCCUUCGAUGGCACGAAGACCGACUACGAAAGUGGCUUUAACCUACCUGACUCCACGAAAGCUGAGGAA